AGGAAUAUUUCCUGGAUAAUCCUAUGUAUGUUCAAAUGAAUAUACAGUCUUAUAAAAAAAAUUGGGAGUUUGUUCCCGUCAUAUUUUGUAGUUGCCAUAGAGUCAUAGAACUUAUAAGUUCAUCCUUUAUUUCUAUUAUUUAGUUCAGAUAGGCUCACAUUACCGGAUGAGGGUAGAUGUAGAGCUAAUUUAGUUUAUUUACUUAGUAUUAGUGAGAAUUGGUCCAUAAACCUUCCUGAUCGUUCUUCUUUGGAUAUGCUUUUGUGAAUCUGGUGUCCUUUGAUAGUCCGAUUUUGGAUGAAGUGUCCGAUUCUUCACUUAUUUAUUUAUAUGAUUUAGUAUUGAUGUGAAUUGGUCCAUAAAUCUUCCUGGUCGUUCUUCAUUGGAUAUGAUUUUGCGAAUCUGGUGUCCAUUGAUAGUCUGACUUUGGAUUGAGUGUCCGAUUCCCCAUUUAUUUUGGUUAAUGUGUUUUGGAUUCCUUUGGUAUGUUUACUAUUUGUAUUAUUCGGUAUUGGUGAGAAUUGUUCCAUAAAUCUUCCUGAUUGUUCUUCUCUGGAUAUGCCAUUACGAAUCUGGUGUCCAUUGUUGGUCCAAUUUUGGAUUGAGUGUUCGAUUCUUCACUAAUUUUCUUGAUUUAUUUGGUAACUUUAGUAUAUUUACUUGCGUUAUUGUACGAUUUGGCUCACACCUUUGCCUGGUUGUUCGUCCUUGGAUAUACCCAUUAUAAAUCUGAUGUCCAUGGAUAGUUCAACUUUGGAUUUGCUGCCAAUUCGACACUUAUUUGUCAUUAUAAAUUUAGUCUCAUAUUUAGUUUGUGUGUCUUUUACGGCAAAACCUCAGUCGCUUUUAAUAGGACUUCGGGUGAUCUUCUGCAAUUCAGGUUAUUUGCUGCAGUGCUUUCCCUUGAUCCUUAGUUGUGGUUAUUUGUAAUCUUGCGAAUCAACGAUAAAUAAUACACUACUACUACUUUAGUUUAAUAUUUAGAGCAUAAAAAAAAAUUUGGAUUAAAUUUUUUUUUCUUCCAGUAGGAGGGGAAUGUGACGUUCCAUCACUUAUUUAAUUAAUUAUUAAUGGGAACACCUUAUUUAAUUAUUGUCAAAAGUAUUUUCUUAGAAUAUUAAAAACCAGUUCGUACAAAAUUCCCUUGGUGACGUCAUACUGGGUGUAUGGUGGUCACAUUGAUAUUUCUUGAGGUUGGUACUGAACACCGGCCGCUAGCUGUCACGAAGCCGGAACGGUGAAGAGGGAAGCAUUGGUCUUGGGAGUGUCAAUAAGAAUGGCGGCGUGAGUUUUCUAAUUAUAUAAUUAAAAUAAGUUAUUUCCAGUUGCAUAGUUCCAUUAUUGUUGUUGCAAGUUAUAGAAAGUUGAGUGAAUUAAAGUGACGGAAUAAUGAAACUGUAAGAAAAAGGAUCUCACACCGCCAUUCGGGAGAAAUCUAUUAUUACCGCUGGUAAACCCUCUCUAACACCGAGAGCAGACACUUCCAAGAUUCAGUCAACCAGGGAACAAGUCUAAGGAUACAGUCCCAUUUGUUUUGUUUUGGUUCAUCAUCCUGCAUCCUCCGAGGGACAGGUUCAUUAGCUAUUGGGCAGUUGCACCACUUCGGUGUUAACUUCGUACCACGGAUUUGGUACCACACACCAAGGAUCAGUGUUGGAACGCGUGAAAAGGGGUUUGUUUUGGGGGACAAUUAUUCAUACUAGUUAAAGACUUAUACUGUUUUUUUUUGUAAUAUUCAGGAUAUUUAAGUUAGAUACACAUAAGUUCAUAAUUUAAUUACACAUAAAUAUUUUUUUUCUUUCUCUACAAAUUUAAGUACAUUUUAGUUAUAAUAACCAUGCCUAACAGUUAGUACUGUUCCCCCAAAUUUAUAUAAUUCUUGGUAGAAGUUUCGAGCUCGAAGAUUCUCCCCAUACAUGUUCUUUCCCCUUGGUUCGUAUUAAUUUUAGACUUGUUUUCUCAGUUAAUUUAAAAAUAAUAUUAGUUCAAUUCACCUAAAUUUAAAAUCAUUCAACUUAUUUCAUAAUUUUUCAAUUUGUAUUAGAUUUUUGUAAAUAUUAUUUAACGUUAACUAUUAAUUUUUUUUAUAUUAUAUUUGAAUAAAUCCCUAGUACCCAUCCCCUCAGGAAGGUACUAGUUUUACUUGCGAUUAUUAUUUAGAACCACUAGUCAGAAAAGGAUCUUUUGUAUCCAGUACUAAGUUGGUUCAUUUAGGGACUUGUUACCCGUCAACACAUUGAGAGUUGUAAAAUAUAUAUUAUUUACAUUAGGUAUUUUCCUUAUUCUAUUAUCAGGUAGUAUUCAAUUAGGGUGUACGUAUUAAAAUCGUACAAGUGUUAUUUGGUGAAGGGUUCAUACUAAUCUAGGUGUAAGUUGUACUUUCUGUAUUAGAGGUACCCUUAUUCAGAUUUUCUAACCUUAUUAAGAUUAUUCUUAGAUCACAUUUGUGUGAUAAUUUUUUAAUUGACUUUCACUAGUAUCAUUUUUUUGUCAUGUUAGAGUCACAGACUAGUUACUUGUCUUAACUCGGAGAUUGUGAACAUCUAGUAGUUAAAUUUAAUAAAUAUAUAUUUAUUGUG
Long non-coding RNA from Diabrotica virgifera virgifera (western corn rootworm), 2579 nucleotides. RefSeq lists it as uncharacterized. NCBI's taxonomy places the organism in Eukaryota, Metazoa, Arthropoda, Insecta, Coleoptera, Chrysomelidae. The record is from RefSeq and is a predicted model, not a curated record. The transcript has 2 exons.